UAAAGACUCAAUUUCCUGGCCUCUCCAGCUUUGCGUCACCCUGCUUAAUGAUAUUUCAACAUUGAAAGUAUCCCAGUUGCGUCUUCUGAAGCUGAGUCUCCUGUUUUAUGGUUCAUCCAAAUGUGCAGUGCUCAUCUGACUCGCUCAUCACCAUGCAGUGGGGCUGCAUGGAUGAAGCUAAUUUGUGCCGGGCCUAUUUGGAAGCUGGUGUUCCCGUCAUGAAGACUCAGAGGAGGCUUUAGUGAGCAAUGAGAACAGUGCCUGGUGUGUGGGAAGUUCUCAGUGAAGGUCAGGAACUGUGGCGCCGCUGGAGGUGGUCUUUACCAUUAUGAUGAUAUUGAGCCUUGCUUAAGACCAAAGGAGAGCUGGAUGGUAAAGACUCCCCUGAGAAUGGGCAAACGAGUUGCAGAUCAAGUAUCCUGGCCACAAAGACAAGGAGAGGAUCAGGCCCGAAGCUCCAGGCCUGGACACGCCCCGGAGGAGAAAUGAGCCUCGUGGUUAGUAACAGAGCCAAGCUUCCUUUGUCUAACCUUUCGCUGGAAUUAAGAGCUUUUCACAUUUCAGUUGACUUGAGAACAGACAGGGAGCCCCAAAUCAGAAGCAGAUUGGAGCUGGUGAGCAGGGAAAUGACACUUCAGCCUCUAAAACGCAGCAGCUCUGUUUGUCCCUUGCUUCUGACCCCAGCAGCCUCUUUGCUCCCUCUCUUCUCCCUACUCCAUAGAAGGCUUCUCUCCCCUUCUCUGAGACUCUGCUCUUAAAGCAGCAGGUGCCCGAUUCCAGUGGACUCUCUCCACUGUGGAAUGUAUCAGAGCAGGGGCAGCACCUUCCCCAGCAACACACCCUAUCACCUUUGAUCCUUUGCCAUUUGCACUAUGGGUUUUCAUUUGACCCAGCGGUCUGAGUUUGCUCCAGUAUUUGUGUUUUUGUGUUUUUCUUUCCUAUGCUUCUCUUUCCCUCCCUGCCCCUCCUUUAUGCUGUGGCCUAAGUACACUGAGCUUCUUCCUUUGUUUGUAUGACAGAGGAUUCCUUUUCAUUCGUCAGGAUGUUAACUAUGCAUACCACAAAAAAAUUGAAGCACAAAGCACCAAAAGAAAAUGAAGAUAGAAAAAUCUAGUGGAUUUGGAGGUGAAAGAAAGCAAACUUGCACCCAGUUUUCCAAACCUUAAACAGAUUUAUUUUCUUGGCCAAGUUCUCAGUUACUCACCACAGUGCUCUUAUUUUGUGCCUCAAGGGAUAGGCAAAAAGCUCUUUCCUGCUCAGCACUUACUUAAUACUUAAAAGAAAUACCCUUUCUUUCUCUAGCAAUGCACUUGUUUUAACAGUGGAAAUACAGGGCACCCAAGAGGUCAAACUCUCUAGAAACCUGGGGCCAAUACUUACAAAGACUGAUGCCCUGUGGGUGACUCAAAAACAACCCUGGAGUCAGAAUUAACAACAUUCUCCACAUACUGUUUAAAUGGUCACUCUUUGUCAGGAGCUGGGUACUUUCUGAAAACUGUUUCUGUAGCCUGCGGCAAGCCUGGGCUUUGGUUGUGAGGCCCAGAGGCUUAGCUUCUUCACCCAAUGCUUGCAAAAUGUUUAUAGCAAACUCAAAUACCUUCCACAGAUUACUCCCAUUCUCCAUCUGAUUUCUUCACCAGCUGUUCUCUGCCUGAUUCAUUGUGCAGAUUUCUUUCUAGUGUUGUGGAUAUUCCCUAGUUACCUACCAUAAUGCUUGGUCUUACAGGUGUAUAGCAUGUUUGCAAUGCUUGUUCAUAUGCUCCCAGGGAAAAAAAAAUCAUAAAAUAUAAUCUUAUGUGUAAUUUUCCUGAAUACUAAAUGCUUUGCCCUAAACUUGAAGAUAGUGUAUCAGUUGAAGGAUGCCAGGAAUUACUUCACCUCAUGUAUAUGUACCUGUUACAGAUUAUAUUCAUUUUCAAAUUAAUUUCAAAGCCAGCUGUUAUUUUUGCUAAAAGUCAUCCUUGAUGGUAUGCUUUAGCAACUACCAUUUAAAACUUAGAGACAACUAGCCGUGCAAUAUGAGGAUUUAAAAAUGCAGUACUUGAGUUGUUUAUUGUGGGUUUUACAUUUUGAGCUUAAGUCUCCUUCUUAAUAUAUUGUCUGUAGGCACUUAAUAAAAUAGAUCUUUAAGGAAAAAUAAAAUAGCUUUACUAUAUAUGUAACAUGCAUAUUAUAAAUAAAGUGUUGGAACUUUUUGGUGAUUUAGUUUUCCUUUAUAAAUACGGGCAUGUAGGUAUUCCUACAGCAAU
RNAcentral lists this long non-coding RNA (2249 nucleotides) under Homo sapiens (human). Its description in RNAcentral is "HSALNT0340459". The record is from RNAcentral. Lineage: Eukaryota; Metazoa; Chordata; Mammalia; Primates; Hominidae.